AGUGAACGCUGGCGGUAGGCCUAACACAUGCAAGUCGAACGGCAGCACAGUAAGAGCUUGCUCUUACGGGUGGCGAGUGGCGGACGGGUGAGGAAUACAUCGGAAUCUACUUUUUCGUGGGGGAUAACGUAGGGAAACUUACGCUAAUACCGCAUACGACCUACGGGUGAAAGCAGGGGAUCUUCGGACCUUGCGCGAUUGAAUGAGCCGAUGUCGGAUUAGCUAGUUGGCGGGGUAAAGGCCCACCAAGGCGACGAUCCGUAGCUGGUCUGAGAGGAUGAGCAGCCACACUGGAACUGAGACACGGUCCAGACUCCGACGGGAGGAAGCAGUGGGGAAUAUUGGACAAUGGGCGCAAGCCUGAUCAAGCCAUACCGCGUGGGUGAAGAAGGCCUUCGGGUUGUAAAGCCCUUUUGUUGGGAAAGAAAAGCAGCAGGUUAAUACCCCGCUGUUCUGACGGUACCCAAAGAAGAAGCACCGGCUAACUUCG
This 490-nucleotide ribosomal RNA is filed under the name uncultured bacterium. Its description in RNAcentral is "partial 16S ribosomal RNA". It matches the Rfam family "Bacterial small subunit ribosomal RNA", at positions 29 to 505 of the family's 1533-position model. The record is from RNAcentral.